This 738-nucleotide ribosomal RNA is filed under the name uncultured bacterium. RNAcentral describes it as "bacterial SSU rRNA". It matches the Rfam family "Bacterial small subunit ribosomal RNA", at positions 58 to 792 of the family's 1533-position model. The record is from RNAcentral.
GGAGUCGAGGGGCAGCAUUAGUACUUGUACUAGAUGGCGACCGGCGCACGGGUGCGUAACGCGUAUGCAACCUACCCUUUACUACGGGAUAGCCCGGGGAAACCCGGAUUAAUACUGUAUGGUACCAUCAGAGGGCAUCUGAAGAUGGUUAAAGAUUUAUCGGUAAAGGAUGGGCAUGCGUGACAUUAGUUAGUUGGUGAGGUAAUGGCUCACCAAGGCGAUGAUGUCUAGGGGUUCUGAGAGGAUGAUCCCCCACACUGGCACUGAGAUACGGGCCAGACUCCUACGGGAGGCAGCAGUAGGGAAUAUUGGUCAAUGGGCGAGAGCCUGAACCAGCCAUGCCGCGUGCAGGAAGACGGCCUUCUGGGUUGUAAACUGCUUUUAUCAGGGAACAAAAAGGCCAUGCGUGGCAAAUUGCGUGUACCUGAGGAAUAAGGACCGGCUAACUCCGUGCCAGCAGCCGCGGUAAUACGGAGGGUCCAAGCGUUGUCCGGAUUUAUUGGGUUUAAAGGGUGCGCAGGCGGAAUGAUUAGUCAGUGGUGAAAUCCUACAGCUCAACUGUAGAACUGCCAUUGAUACUGUCAUUCUUGAGUACAGUUGAAGUAGGCGGAAUGUAUCAUGUAGCGGUGAAAUGCAUAGAUAUGAUACAGAACUCCUAUAGCGAAGGCAGCUUACUAAACUGUAACUGACGCUCAGGCACGAAAGCGUGGGGAGCGAACAGGAUUAGAUACCCUGGUA